Molecule: non-coding RNA, 25 nt
Filed under: Rattus norvegicus (Norway rat)
Lineage: Eukaryota; Metazoa; Chordata; Mammalia; Rodentia; Muridae
Source: RNAcentral
UGAAUGAAACUCUUGACCUCAACUC